Etheostoma cragini (Arkansas darter) is the source of this 106-nucleotide long non-coding RNA. RefSeq lists it as uncharacterized. The record is from RefSeq and is a predicted model, not a curated record. The transcript has 3 exons. NCBI's taxonomy places the organism in Eukaryota, Metazoa, Chordata, Actinopteri, Perciformes, Percidae.
UCGUACUAGUGUGCUGUAGGACCAAUGGGAAUUUUUCGGGUUUUGAGAGGUCGGAACAAUGGAGCGUCAGAAAAAUGACAUGGCAUGACAGUGCGAAAACAGCCUC